UACGGGGGGAGCAAGCGUUGUUCGGAUUUACUGGGCGUAAAGGGCGCGUAGGCGGUCGUGACAAGUCACUUGUGAAAUCUCCGGGCUUAACUCGGAAAGGUCAAGUGAUACUGUCGGACUAGAGUACAGAAGGGGCAACUGGAAUUCUCGGUGUAGCGGUGAAAUGCGUAGAUAUCUGGAGGAACACCGGUGGCGAAGGCGGCUUUCUGGACAAAUACCGACGCUGAGGCACGAAAGCUAGGGGAGCAAACAGG
Molecule: ribosomal RNA, 254 nt
Filed under: uncultured bacterium
Lineage: Bacteria
Description: partial 16S ribosomal RNA
Rfam family: Bacterial small subunit ribosomal RNA
Source: RNAcentral